This 253-nucleotide ribosomal RNA is filed under the name uncultured bacterium. RNAcentral describes it as "partial 16S ribosomal RNA". It matches the Rfam family "Bacterial small subunit ribosomal RNA", at positions 524 to 776 of the family's 1533-position model. The record is from RNAcentral.
UACGGGGGGGGCAAGCGUUGCUCGGAAUUACUGGGCGUAAAGGGCUCGUAGGCGGCCAACUAAGUCGGAUGUGAAAUCCCCAAGCUUAACUUGGGAACUGCAUCCGAUACUGGAUGGCUUGAAUCCGGGAGAGGGAUGCAGAAUUCCAGGUGUAGCGGUGAAAUGCGUAGAUAUCUGGAGGAAUACCGGUGGCGAAGGCGGCAUCCUGGACCGGCAUUGACGCUGAGGAGCGAAAGCUAGGGGAGCAAACGGG